Long non-coding RNA from Aedes albopictus (Asian tiger mosquito), 1361 nucleotides. RefSeq lists it as uncharacterized. The record is from RefSeq and is a predicted model, not a curated record. NCBI's taxonomy places the organism in Eukaryota, Metazoa, Arthropoda, Insecta, Diptera, Culicidae. The transcript is spliced from 3 exons.
AUGGUGGUAAGCUCCACAGCGUCCUAGACGCCAAUCACGUAUUAUCCUCGAUUUUCUCAAGCACCAAACGGUAUUAUCCUUGAUUUUAAUCUGAGAUUUAACUUUAGUGCGCCGAUUUCGGCGCACUAAAAAUAAAUCUCGGAUUAACAAAACUGGCUGCGUGCGGAAAUAAAUUGGCACGCAUACUACGCCAUCAUGUUGGGAAACGUCAAACAGGGAAAACAGCAACAAACCAAACAAAGGAAAUCAGCAACAAUCUUCGGUGAUUUUUUUUUGUAAAUCCGCCCAGCUGCAGGUAUUACAGAUGGCCUGGAAGUUCUCAUGAUCAAACUGUUUUCAGUUUGUCGCAAUUGAGGGCAGAAUUUGAAAGAGGAUUGUAUGGGACCAACAUAAUACUCGGAGAUUCAGGAUACCGUUGUACUCCCUACCUGGUAACACCGCUACUGAACCCUACUACGGAAGCUGAAAAGAAAUUUCAGAAGGGCUUCAUCCGAACGAGAAACAUAGUGGAACGUGUGUUUGGAGCCUGGAAGAGGAGAUUUCCAAUCGUUGGAAUGAAACUGAGACUCAAUACCGAAGAGGCACUGGUUGUGAUAAUUGCCACCGCAGUAUUGCACAAUGUGUGCAUAAGAACUAACCUGCCACCACCUAUACCUUAUGAGGAGCUGAUUCAACCGAACGAUGUCUAUAAUGGACUAAACAACCAAGCACGCACACGCAACGCAAUAAUCGAGAAUUAUUUUAACUAAUAUUUAUAUGAACAGACAAGUGAACGAUAGAAAAAUCUAUCGAUGUUGAACACAAUUACGAAAGCAUCGUCCAUUGUUAAAAAAACCUAUACUUUAUCAAUCCAUCAUUUAAAUCAACCGCUGAGCAAUAACGUGUGUGUGUGUGUGUGUGUGUGUGUGUGUGUGUGUGUGUGUGUGUGUGUGUGUGUGUGUGUGUGUGUGUGUGUGUGUGUGUGUGUGUGUGUGUGUGUGUGUGUGUGUGUGUGUGUGUGUGUGUGUGUGUGUGUGUGUGUGUGUGUGUGUGUGUGUGUGUGUGUGUGUGUGUGUGUGUGUGUGUGUGUGUGUGUGUGUGUGUGUGUUUCGCGUUGCGCCACAUUCAUUGUCAGCUGAAUGCUUCUCUUUUUUCAUUCAAUUUUCUGCAUACAUUUAUUGUGAACUUUUGAUUUUUGUACCUACAUUUAAUAAUGAAAAACAUUUAAAUGAAAUGAAAAUGAAUAAUAAAUGAACAUCGAAGAACAUGAAAAUACAUUUAAUUUAUCAUACAAUUUAUGUACAUUUUGUAUACAUUUUAGGUGUUGGGUUCGUGAGUGCAAACUUUUUAAAAGGGUGAUCGAGGACCACUAAAGGUGAAAA